RNAcentral lists this ribosomal RNA (392 nucleotides) under uncultured bacterium. RNAcentral's name for it is "partial 16S ribosomal RNA". It matches the Rfam family "Bacterial small subunit ribosomal RNA", at positions 523 to 918 of the family's 1533-position model. The record is from RNAcentral.
AUACGGAAGAUGCGAGCGUUAUCCGGAUUUAUUGGGUUUAAAGGGAGCGUAGGCGGAAGGUUAAGUCUGCGGUAAAAUGGCCGUGCUCAACGCGGUCCUGCCGUGGAUACUGGUCUUCUUGAAUGUGCACAAGGAAGGUGGAAUUCGUGGUGUAGCGGUGAAAUGCUUAGAUAUCACGAAGAACUCCGAUUGCGAAGGCAUCCUUCUGGGGCAUGAUUGACGCUGAGGCUCGAAAGCGCGGGUAUCAAACAGGAUUAGAUACCCUGGUAGUCCGCGCCGUAAACGAUGAAUACCCGUCGUUGGCGAUACACAGUCAGCGACCAAGCGAAAGCAUUAAGUAUUCCACCUGGGGAGUACGCCGGCAACGGUGAAACUCAAAGGAAUUGACGGGG